RNAcentral lists this ribosomal RNA (482 nucleotides) under uncultured bacterium. RNAcentral describes it as "bacterial SSU rRNA". It matches the Rfam family "Bacterial small subunit ribosomal RNA", at positions 30 to 506 of the family's 1533-position model. The record is from RNAcentral.
UUGAACGCUGGCGGCAUGCUUUACACAUGCAAGUCGAACGGCAGCGGGGGCUUCGGCCCGCCGGCGAGUGGCGAACGGGUGAGUAAUGUAUCGGAACGUACCCUGUCGUGGGGGAUAACACAGCGAAAGCUGUGCUAAUACCGCAUACGACCUGAGGGUGAAAGCGGGGGAUCGCAAGACCUCGCGCGAUAGGAGCGGCCGAUAUCGGAUUAGCUUGUUGGUGAGGUAAAGGCUCACCAAGGCGACGAUCCGUAGCUGGUCUGAGAGGACGACCAGCCACACUGGAACUGAGACACGGUCCAGACUCCUACGGGAGGCAGCAGUGGGGAAUUUUGGACAAUGGGCGAAAGCCUGAUCCAGCCAUGCCGCGUGCAGGAUGAAGGCCUUCGGGUUGUAAACUGCUUUUGUACGGAACGAAAAAGUCUUCUCUAAUACAGGGGGCGAAUGACGGUACCGUAAGAAUAAGCACCGGCUAACUACGU